AUCAGGGUUCGAUUCCGGAGAGGGAGCCUGAGAAACGGCUACCACAUCCAAGGAGGGCAGCAGGCGCGCAAAUUACCCACUCCCGGCACGGGGAGGUAGUGACGAUAAAUAACGAUACGGGACUCAUCCGAGGCCCCGUAAUUGGAAUGAGCAUACUCUAAAGCCUUGUGCGAGUAUCAAUUGGAGGGUAAGUCUGGUGCCAGCAGCCGCGGUAAUUCCAGCUCCAAUAGCGUAUAUUAAAGUUGUUGCGGUUAAAAAGCUCGUAGUCCGCAUUGUGUCUCGCCCCGUCGGUACACCGCCUGCCGGUGCUUAACUGGCGCGCGAGCGAGACGUCGUGCCGGUCGGUGCCGGUCGUCCGGCCAACGCGGCGAGCUACCCGCCGGCUCUAAAGAGCCGUGGUACGCGAGCCGCAGGUCGGUCGGCCGCCCUUCAAAUCCCGUCGCGGUGCUCUUAAACGAGUGUCGAGGCGGGCCGGCAAUAUUACUUUGAACAAAUUAGUGUGCUUAAAGCAGGCUCGAGUUCGCCUGGAUACAUGUGCAUGGAAUAAUGGAAUAGGACCUAGGUUCUAUUUCGUUCGGUUUUAGGACCGUAGGUAAUGAUCAACGGGAACGGGCGGGGGCAUUCGUAUUGCUACGUUAGAGGUGAAAUUCUUGGAUCGUAGCAAGACGGACGUAAGCGAUAGCAUUUGCCAAGUACGUUUCCGUCGAUCAAGAACGAAAGUUAGAGGUUCGAAGGCGAUCAGAUACCGCCCUAGUUCUAACCAUAAACGAUGCCUGCCAGCGAUCCGCCGAUGUUCCUAAGAUGACACGGCGGGCAGCUUCCGGGAAACCAGAGCUUUCGGGUUCCGGGGGAAGUAUGGUUGCAAAGCUGAAACUUAAAGGAAUUGACGGAAGGGCACCACCAGGAGUGGAGCCUGCGGCUUAAUUUGACUCAACACGGGAAAACUCACCAGGCCCGGACACCGCAAGGAUUGACAGAUUGAUAGCUCUUUCUUGAUUCGGUGGGUGGUGGUGCAUGGCCGUUCUUAGUUCGUGGAGUGAUUUGUCUGGUUAAUUCCGAUAACCGAGCGAGACUCUAGCCUACUAACUAGGCGGACCGGUAUCCACAAUCGUGCUACCGGCGAGCCAAUAUCUUCUUAGAGGGACAGGCGGCUCCUAGCCGCACGAGACUGAGCAAUAACAGGUCUGUGAUGCCCUUAGAUGUCCUGGGCAGCACGCGCGCUACACUGAAGGAAUCAGCGUGUCUUCCCUGUCCGAGAGGACCGGGUAACCCGCUGAACCUCCUUCGUGCUUGGGAUUGGGGCUUGCAAUUGUUCCCCAUGAACGAGGAAUUCCCAGUAAGCGCUAGUCAUAAGCUGGCGUUGAUUACGUCCCUGCCCUUGUACACACCG
RNAcentral lists this ribosomal RNA (1390 nucleotides) under Omolicna joi. RNAcentral's name for it is "SSU rRNA". It matches the Rfam family "Eukaryotic small subunit ribosomal RNA", at positions 369 to 1671 of the family's 1831-position model. Lineage: Eukaryota; Metazoa; Arthropoda; Insecta; Hemiptera; Derbidae. The record is from RNAcentral.